Molecule: unclassified non-coding RNA, 347 nt
Filed under: soil metagenome
Description: partial contains 5.8S ribosomal RNA, internal transcribed spacer 2, and large subunit ribosomal RNA
Rfam family: 5.8S ribosomal RNA (bases 1-119)
Source: RNAcentral
GAUGAAGAACGUAGCGAAAUGCGAUAAGUAAUGCGAAUUGCAGAAUCCGUGAGUCAUCGAAUCUUUGAACGCACAUUGCGCCCGCUGGUAUUCCGGCGGGCAUGCCUGUUCGAGCGUCAUUUCAACCCUCAAGCCCCCGGGUUUGGUGUUGGGGAUCGGCUCUGCCCUUCUGGGCGGUGCCGCCCCCGAAAUACAUUGGCGGUCUCGCUGCAGCCUCCAUUGCGUAGUAGCUAACACCUCGCAACUGGAACGCGGCGCGGCCAUGCCGUAAAACCCCAACUUCUGAAUGUUGACCUCGGAUCAGGUAGGAAUACCCGCUGAACUUAAGCAUAUCAAUAAGCGGAGGA